AUACGUAGGGGGCGAGCGUUGUCCGGAAUGAUUGGGCGUAAAGGGCGCGUAGGCGGCCCGGUAAGUCUGGAGUGAAAGUCCUGUUUUUAAGAUGGGAAUUGCUUUGGAUACUGUCGGGCUUGAGUGCAGGAGAGGUAAGUGGAAUUCCCAGUGUAGCGGUGAAAUGCGUAGAGAUUGGGAGGAACACCAGUGGCGAAGGCGACUUACUGGACUAUAACUGAAGCUGAGGCGCGAAAGUGUGGGGAGCAAACAGGAUUAGAUGCCCUGGUACUCCACACUGUAAACGAUGAAUGCUAGUUGUAGUGGGUAUCGACCCCUUCUGUGCCGCAGUCAACACAAUAAGCAUUCCGCCUGGGGAGUACGGCCGCAAGGUUGAAACUUAAAGGAAUUGCCGGGG
This 397-nucleotide ribosomal RNA is filed under the name uncultured bacterium. RNAcentral describes it as "partial 16S ribosomal RNA". It matches the Rfam family "Bacterial small subunit ribosomal RNA", at positions 523 to 918 of the family's 1533-position model. The record is from RNAcentral.